CUAACCUGCUAAAUAGUACAGUUGCAAGAUUAUAUAGACUUCAUGCUGAUGCUUCCGCGUUGGCAUGGAACUAUAUAAGCAGGUGAGACUUCUUAGAGGGACUGGCACACAAUAUAAAGUGCACGAGGAAGAGCAAUAACAGGUCUGUGAUGCCCUAAGAUGUCCGGGGCCGCACGCGUGCUACAAUGACGAUGCAAGUGAGCAUGAUUUACCUGGUUCGAAAGAAUCGGGAAACCUGUUCAAUCAUCGUCGUGACUGGGAUUGGGGUUUGUAAUUAUCCCCCAUGAACGAGGAAUUCCUAGUAAGCACAAGUCAUAAGCUUGUGCUGAUUACGUCCCUGCCCUUUGUACACACCGCCCGUCGCUACUACCGAUUGAAUGGUUUAGCAAGGUUAUUGGAUUGGCCUUUUGCGGUUCGCGCUGCAUUAAGCUGAGAAGAUGACCGAACUUGAUCAUUUAGAGGAAGUAAAAGUCGUAACAAGGUUUCCGUAGGUGAACCUGCGGAAGGAUCAUUA
Molecule: ribosomal RNA, 514 nt
Filed under: Thaparocleidus siluri
Lineage: Eukaryota; Metazoa; Platyhelminthes; Monogenea; Dactylogyridea; Ancylodiscoididae
Description: bacterial SSU rRNA
Rfam family: Eukaryotic small subunit ribosomal RNA
Source: RNAcentral